UUCUGCAAGAGGGUUCACAGGACAAG
Molecule: unclassified non-coding RNA, 26 nt
Filed under: Mus musculus (house mouse)
Lineage: Eukaryota; Metazoa; Chordata; Mammalia; Rodentia; Muridae
Description: oocyte_clustered_small_RNA12969
Source: RNAcentral